RNAcentral lists this ribosomal RNA (255 nucleotides) under uncultured bacterium. RNAcentral describes it as "partial 16S ribosomal RNA". It matches the Rfam family "Bacterial small subunit ribosomal RNA", at positions 524 to 776 of the family's 1533-position model. The record is from RNAcentral.
UACGUAGGGUGCAAGCGUUAAUCGGAAUUACUGGGCGUAAAGCGUGCGCAGGCGGUUGUGCAAGACAGAUGUGAAAUCCCCGGGCUCAACCUGGGAAUUGCAUUUGUGACUGCACGGCUAGAGUGUGUCAGGAGGGGGUAGAAUUCCACGUGUGAGCAGUGAAAUGCGUAGAGAUGUGGAGGAAUACCGAUGGCGAAGGCAGCCCCCUGGGAUAACACUGACGCCUCAUGCACGAAAGCGUGGGGAGCAAACAGG